GAAAAGCUUUGGUUAACUUGUUAAAUUCUUUAUCAUGAGGGAAGCAGUUAUAUUCUCGUUUCUACUACUAGUUUUUGCAACUUUAUUGACGAGCUGCUUUGCAGUCAAAGGCAAACCUGUUGGCAGUUCCCCUAGCUGCACUAAAAAUGGCGAUCCACUAUUAUGUAGUCCCGGUUCGGGUCCCGGUCGCUAGAGAUUGUGAGAUCCCUCCAGCACUGAUAUGGAUAGGUAUUAUGUUGACGGAGGUGAAGAAACUUGUUUACAAGUUU
This is a long non-coding RNA of Belonocnema kinseyi, 269 nucleotides long. RefSeq lists it as uncharacterized. Lineage: Eukaryota; Metazoa; Arthropoda; Insecta; Hymenoptera; Cynipidae. The record is from RefSeq and is a predicted model, not a curated record. The transcript is spliced from 3 exons.